Molecule: long non-coding RNA, 1303 nt
Organism: Helianthus annuus (common sunflower)
Lineage: Eukaryota; Viridiplantae; Streptophyta; Magnoliopsida; Asterales; Asteraceae
Exons: 3
Source: RefSeq, a predicted model, not a curated record
GAUGGAUAUCCCAGGCAAAUCGACUUCUGAGAGACAGGAUAAACUGACCUCAUCAUCUUCAACAUUUGAAAGUUGCAGUUCAUCCAUUAAUCGAUUUCACAGUUUGAAUUAUUAGGAAGAUGAAGAUCACGGAGCCAUCAAGCGAGUCGCUCACUACGUCUUCAAAAUCCGAAUUAGAUCCGACAAGGUAAACAAAUCAACUCUCCGUUUGAUUUGUAAAUGCUAUUGGAUUUAGGAUCUGAGAUUCAGAUUCAAUUGCAAUUCUAGGGCUUCAUUCAAGGUUUUUUCAGCACCAUUUUGAAGUAUAAUAAAUCAAGAAGUUGUGUUUGGUUUAAACUGAAUAUAUUGUAAAUAGUAUGCAUGUAUAUUAGCAUUAGUUAAUUGUUCCUUGUAAAUCUAUUUCUAUCGGAGAAUGAACCGAGCAAACCUGGUUAUACCUCAAGGGUAGCAGUAGCAGCAGCAGCAGCGUUUAGACGUUUUUUAGGUAAAUCCAAGGAAGAUGUAGCCGCCAUUAAGGUUCAAACAGCUUUUCAGCGUUUCUCGGCACGAAGAAAGUUGCGGGCUUUGAAAGGGCUUGUGAGAUUAAAAGUGUUGGUUCAAAGUCAAUCGGUCAAACGACAAGCAAUAACCACUUUAAGAUGUAUGCAGACUCUAGCCCGUGUGCAGUCUCAGGUUUGAGCCAGGAGGAUCAGAAUGUCGGAAGAAAACCAAGCCCUUUAAAGAGAGCUUAUGCAGAAACGCGAGCGAGAGCUUGGUAACAUGAAAUCCUAUGGUUUCGAAGAACGACCAGGGUGAUGUGAGUGAAGUGACAUCCACAUUUUCCGCCUGCUCUCCUCCUCUACUUUUCCGGAUUGCUCAAGAAACUGGAUUCUGAAUUGAAGCGUGAGGUCUGUCAUUGGGCUGCAUAUUAUGUAAGUUCAUGAUAAUGUCUCAUCAAAGACUCAUAAGACUGUAAUACCCUGUUUAUGGCAUUCAUAUCCUUAGGUAUGGAUUAGUUUGGAUCUCAUUGUUCAGCUGUUUAUGAAUUGUAAAUUAAAAGGUGACCCAUUUGAUUCACAGUUUGUACUUGCUUCAACUUUAUUUAAGUUGGCUGGUGUGCCAUUUACUUACAUGUAGAAAAUUAGAACAGUGAAAUAGCAUUGUUGAUUAAUUGUGUUGUGUUUCUGAGCGAUAGAGUUUUUUUCUGAUUAGUUGUAUUACUUUUGUUUCUGAGCGAUUAAUUGAGUUUUUUAUUCGACCCAGGUACUUAGAAUUGGCCUAUAUCGAGUCAAGUGGGCCAAAUCAAAAGUUUAGCUUAAAAGGA